This is an RNA transcript of Fragaria vesca subsp. vesca, 983 nucleotides long. It is a transcript of the gene named 60S ribosomal protein L7-1-like, with no coding region annotated. Lineage: Eukaryota; Viridiplantae; Streptophyta; Magnoliopsida; Rosales; Rosaceae. The record is from RefSeq and is a predicted model, not a curated record. The transcript is spliced from 6 exons.
GCAAGGUUAUUAAGAAAAAGGAUUCGAGGUUUAACGGGUGAAUGUGAAUUGCGAGUUUGCCAUAACACAAUCUUUUUGCAAGGUUAUAUACAGUAUAACGCAAUCUUUCUCUCCUCAUAUUGCCCAAUAACACAAUCUUGAUCAACGGUCAAGAUAUCUCUUAGCCUCUCUAAGCCUCUCUCGCUUCCUCACUAAACCCUAAUCUGAAGCAGCCCAUACCGUAUAAAAGGAAAAAGGGAGAGAUGAGUGGAGACGUGGCGCAGCCGUUGACGACCGUGCCGGAGAUUAUAUUGAAGAAGAGGAAAAGUAACGAGGAAUUGGCUUUGAGGAGGAGGGAGCAAUUGGAGCAGAGCAAGUUUCGGCAGCACAAGAGUAAGCAGGAGUUUAUCAAGAAACCUGACGACUUUGUCAAGGAGUUUCGCUACCAAGAGGUGGACCUUGUCCAAAUGAAAAACUAGUUAAAGAGAAAGAGGUCAGCAAUAGAGACAACUAACCCCCAGCUUCUCUUGGUCAUUCGCAUACAGGGGAAAAAUGACAUGCAUCCUACUGUUAGGAAGAACUUAUACAGCUUAAACUUGAGGAGAAUCUUCAAUGCUGUUUUCAUGAGAGCAAACGAAGCAAUGCUAGAAAAGUUGCAGAGGGUUGAGCCUUAUAUUACCUAUGGGUAUCCUAACCUUAGGAAUGUGAAGGAGCUGAUUUACAAGAAAGGAUAUGCAAAGAUAAACAAGCAAUGAGUUCCUCUGAUGGACAAUAACUUGAUUGAAGAGGCUCUGGCAAAGUAUAAUAUCAUUUGCAUAGAAGACAUAGUGCAUGAAAUUGCUUCUACUGGUAAAUAUUUCAAGGAGGCUGCUAGCUUUAUAUGGCCCUUUACACUCAACAAGCCAGAAGUAGGAUUGAAAGGAGUAAAAGCACGUUUCCAAGAUGGUGGAGACACUGGUGAUCGCGGCGAUAAAAUCAAUGAACUGAUUAGCAAGAUGAAUUAG